UAAGCCUUUAUAUACGUCACAAUUUGGA
Molecule: small RNA, 28 nt
Filed under: Bombyx mori (domestic silkworm)
Lineage: Eukaryota; Metazoa; Arthropoda; Insecta; Lepidoptera; Bombycidae
Description: ovarian small RNA-19261
Source: RNAcentral